CUUUCCUCUUUCCGUCGUCGCUAUCGAUUUUGCAUAAAAGUCCUUCGGUUUAUUCGAAUUCAACCCGCAGUCCCUGUUUAAGUGGAUCUGGAAAAACGCUUUAAUUUUGCACAAAGGACCCUAUGUUUUGGUAUAUUCAAAACGCGGUCCUUUUUACAUGGGCGGCGCGACUGGAGCUUGCAGGGGCCGGAUCCGCGCACGGCGGGGGCUUGGAGGCGGAUCCGGAGGUGGGCGGCGACGCGGGGGGCGAGGAAGGCCGGAGCGCGGCUUCCCGGGCGGAUCCAUGGCAGAGAAGAGACUGGGUGGUGAGGUUGAGAAGAAGGGAGAAAAGUGGGGCGGUGCGGCGACCCACGCAGGAGCUCGCCGGAGCCGGGUGACGAUGGACGGGCGCGGGAGACAGAAGGAUCCGGCGCGGCGGCGCGCACUCCUUGUAGUUGGAGGCGGGCCUUCAUGGCCGCGGCGCCCCUCCCCCGCGACAGCUCAGGCAGCGGUCAGAUCCGCCCUCCCUCCCUCCCUCACUCCUCGCACUGGAAGACCUAGCCGCUGGGCCAUGGUGACCGACGGCGAUGAUGACGGUGGUGGCUACCUCGACGAUGGAUAAAAUCCGCUCCGCCCCUCCUCUUAUCCGUCGACGACCGCUUGAAUCCCGAGAGGAGAGGAGAGGAGUGGGAGAUCCAUGGCGGCGGAAAGAUCCGCGCCUGGAUCGGACCUGCUCGUCAAGGAGACCCACGCCAUGGAGCUGCUCGUCAAUGUUCCACCCUGGCACACAUCCAACAUCGCCAUGGACCAGUAGCUCAAGCCGUCUUCUUCCAGAUGGUGAUGGAGUUCCCUCACCAUCUGCAGGUCAUCAUCCUUAAGGGCUCCACCAUCUGCAGUGUCUACAGUGGACUAUUUGCAUCUUCAGUGCAAAUACCUGAUUGUAUAUGGAUGGAUUGUAGGGUCUAACCACCUUGAUUUGAUUCGGGCUGGAGCAGCAGCAGCAGGUCCUUCCUUCCAUGGAGGGCAUCCACAACAUGACCCGCACAAGGAGCUCCAAGCAGACAAGGUACCUGCUCCAUUGUUGUACAUGUUCGUGAGUUCUUUGUGAUGAUGAAACCACUGAUUGGAUGUCCUGAUUAGAUACAAUCCAUUCCAUUGAACUGUGGGGACAACAUGAGGCACAUGUCUCUGAUUUGUUGUUACUUUGGUUGACAAUAUGUACUGUGCAUGCGUGUGUGUGUCAAUAAGUAGCAGAUUUGCUUGGCCGCCUGUGACACUCAUGCCAAAUCCUUGACAUUUCUGGGGUUAUACAACCAUCAUGUUUUCUAAGGUUUUGUUUUCCCGCCUCCAUCUCUUCCAUGGCAAGCAGCACAGGUUUCUUUGUUUGUAAAUUAAGCAGUCUGGUAGAUUUGGAAAGGAGGAACAGGGUACUGAACUUUUAUAUAUCUGCACAAGGUACCUUUCAAUUAAUAAGAUUUGUUUUUCUGUUCUGAAUAGGGUACUGAGCCUGAUAAUUGUACCUUUCUAUUCUGAAUUGCAUAUUUGUAGGAAUACUAUGUUAUGUAAGAACAUGGCGGUGCAGUCACCCGAGGUGAAGAAGCUCUGUCACCUACCUCUACAUCCUCCACUAGGCUGACAAGCACAACUGCUAACAAGUAUGCUAAUCCACCCUCAUCUGCAUCGCUUCCUCCUAGCCUGUGAUUUAUGACAUGGAGCAUGUUGUUCUGUUAUCAUAUACACGAAUCUGUCCAUGCUUAAAUGUGGUCAUAGGUUGUGGAAUAGGAGAAACAAUAUAAUGUUCUUUAGCAGAUGCAAACCUGUCCAUGCCUUAUUUGGACCAAUAAUUACUGGUGUUGCCUAUUUGAUAUGUAAACAUAUUUUUUUGGAUGUCUCAGAAAAAUGCCAUGCUACUACAUAAGUUUGAAUCAAACAAAUUAAAUUUGUAAUAAGAUCCCUGAAAGUAAUUAAGUGCUUCUUGAAUGCAUGGAAACAACAAGUUAGAUAUCUCAGAGGUACUAUGUCAUAUAUUCUGAAAGUGGCGCACAUGGAUAUGUAUUCUUGGUUAGCUUUAUGUUCCAUUUCUGUUGUACAUGCUCCAAGAGUUAAUGUGUUAUUCUGAAAGGAUAUGAAGUGAAUUGUCUUCUACUGCAAUCAAUGGGCAUUUCGUUCUACACAUAUGUCCUGAUGUUGUAGUGCCACUUGAUUUCCUUUAAAAUUUCAGUAACAAUUGAGCAAUAUUGGCCUUCCCUUUUUCCUGUAUUAAGUACUAUUCAUGGAGUCAAAGCUCAUGGAGAUGGUCUGUUACUGAUUGCUGCAUCUAUAGAGCUCACUAAUAAAAUAUCUGCUGGUUCAUCUAACUUAUUUGAUCUAUAUGUUUUUGUUUACCUGCAACACGAAGAGAAAAACAUGCUCAAUUAGUUCAUAAAUUUUAAAAUUGUGCAUUUUGUAUAAUUUCUGCUGGUUCCAGUCACAGCAUGCCAGCAUCUAAUCCUUGCAGCAACACCAGGAGUAGACUUUGGAUAUUUUUCUAUACAUUUGACAUUAAAGUUAUACCAACUUGCAUCCAUCGAUCACUAGCUAUUACAUGCAGUAGGUAAUUAUCUGAUGUCAAUGCAACAUCCAAAUCAUUGAAAUACGACCUCUUAUUCUACACAGUUCUUUAUGCUUUGACAAAUCACAAAGUAGAAAUCGAUUUUAAGAUAAUCUAUAAUUAUAAUAAAACCAGGGAUUGCUUUUCUGAAAGAAAAACAAGGGAUUGUUAAUAUGUUUAAAUAUGAAGAUUUGCAGUACUGUAGGUCCUUACCUCUUCUUUUCCAAAGUAGAUAGGACAAAAAAAAUAUGUCCCCACUAAUCGGUACGUGCAGCAGUGAGGAACCGAGCAAAAGGGGAGCUUGGCUUCCAAUGGGGUGAUGGACAGAUUGUAGGUGGGUGCUUGCCUCAUAUCUUCAAUGUGAGAAUAUUGAUUUCUCUUCUACUCCCUCUGUUUCUAAAUAUAAGUCGUUCUAGGGAUUUCAAUACAAACUACAUACGGAUGUAUAUAGACUAUGUUAGAGUGUAGGUUCACUCAUUUUGCUCCGUAUGUAUGUAGUGGAAUCUGUAGAAAGACUUAUAUUUAGGAAUAGAGGGAAUAUCGGUUAGUAAGCAUUUUCCAAACUGUACGAAAAAAAUGUUCAGGAGUUAAACUACUUUUCUUACUAUUCAUGCGAGAUGGCAGAAUACUUUGCUUACUAUUCUCUUCAAUUAUUCCCCGAUUACAAGGAUGGCAUUGUUCACGAGUUAAUCUACUGCAGAAAAAAUGACACACCAUUAUCAAGUUGGUAGGAAAUCAACCUGCUGUAUCUAUUUUUUUUUUCUUCUGGCAUGUCCAUCGACUCUGUUAACACCAAACAAAGUAACAAACUUGACAAAACUGAAACUCAUCUCCCAGAUUUCUCUAUGCACUUCCAUAGAUUCUGAUAUGUCCAUUGUCUUUACGACUUACAUUUUGUAUGUAUCUGGAAGCUAAUUCAGCAUGACCCACGAGUGUUGAUUUGUAUGUUAGUGUGAUAGAAUCUCACUGAAAAAAUUGACAGAAUAAAGGAAAAUAUAUAUUAGAUGUGUGUUAUAAGAACGAGUAGUCCAUGCUGCCAUGCAACCAAUAAGUAGUCAGACUUUAAAACCAUUGUCAUGCAAAAAUUAGGACAACUUUUGGAGUACUUGGGUUAUCCGGGUUCUUAUAAACAGGUUCCCUUUGUUGUAAGAGAGCAAGGUGCUAGCGGACUCACAUGAUGAGUUCUAUGAUCCAGAGAAGGUUGACCCUAGCCAAGAGGGGCAUUCAGGCGACGUGGACUCACAUGAUGAGUUCUGUGUUCCACAUAAGGUUAAUCCACCAUGAAGUGUCUUGUCCAUGGAGGAUCGUUGUUGGCUUUGAGGGAGACGUACAGACUGUUUCCUAUAACCUUUCUAUUUUUUUGCUUGGCUCAUUCAGUAGCUUUUGUGAUAACAGUUGUGGCAAGCUUUUGUUGGUGUUGGAGCUCCCAAAGUAGAAGGGUAUUCUAUUUUUGUUUGCUUCUCUGUUUCGUAUAGUGUGCUUACUUCCGAAGGUACAUGCUCAGAUUCUUUGGCCUCGGACGUUGUAGAUGAAAGCCUUGAUGUACUAUCAGCAUUUUUUGCUAAUGGGGAGACAGCCGUGUUCGUUGUAAAGGAAAUGAAUUAAUCUUUUAUGUUAACAAUUUAUAUCGGGGAAUGCUAAUAGAGGCCAUUUUGACAUGUCUGCGAGCUGCCCUGCUUUAGAUGAGGAUGGAAAAAUACAUUGAGAUACUUGCUUCCGGCUUAUGCUAGACACAAUGUACAUGCCAUGCCAUGCCACUACUGCACAUAGCGGUACAAUCCAAAUGCUGUUAUGCCACAUCGGGUUCUGGUUGGACGGUGGUUGAAAUCGAAGAAGACACAACCUAAGCAAUUUGGUUACCCCGUUGCAACGCACGGGCAUAUUUACUAGUAUAUAUAUAUAUAUAUAUAUAUAUAAAUAUAAAUAUAAUAUAUAAUAUAUAUAUAAUAUUAAUAUUAUAUAUAUAUUAUAUAUUAUAUAUUAUAUUUAUAUUUAUUAUACUUAUAUAUAAUAUUAUAUAUAUAUUAUAUAUUAUAUAUUAUAUUUAUAUUUAUAUAUAUAUAUACUAGUAAAUAUGCUGAUGUGUAGAUUUCAAAUAUGCUAUUAUAUUAAUCAUCAUUCCUAAAAUUCCAUUUAUGAUGCAACCUUUAUUAAUAUCUUCUUUAUAUGGGGUAUUUUGAAAAUCCCGGCUUAACGUUGAUAUUUCUGUAGUCUAAUAAAUUGGAAACAUGUUGAAUACAUUUCACAAAUAAUACAACCUUAUGAACUUACACCACUUAUCAUGUUGUUUCUCGUGGGGCAUUGUGAAAGAUUUGAAGGGAUUCGCCGAUGCUCUCAGGUGUGCGUAUGAGGGAUGAUUUUUUUCGCCUGUUUACCUGGGAGACCCAGGUUCGAGUCCCCUUGCUCCCUUUUCCUCCUUUUAUUUUUCUCUCCUAUUAAUGUUGGUAGGCGUAGGAUAUUACUACUCGCUCCAGCGUCACUUAGCAGAUGGGCAGCACAAUGUACCAGUUACUCUAUUUUUUGGACAUAUUCAUAUAUUUCAAAAAAAAAAUCAUAACUUUCAAACCCUAACUCCAAAUCUAACAUGUUAUGUAUAGAAAUCCCUUAAAAAGAUGUGUAGAUUUCAAAUAUGGUAUUAUAUUAAUCACUUUCAAUGUCAAAAAAACUCAUAACUUUCAAACCCUAACUUCAAAUCUAGCAUGUUAUAUAUAGAAAUCCCUUAAAAAGAUGUGUAGAUUUCAAAUAUGGUACUAUAUUAAUCACUUUCAAAUCCUAACGCCAAAUCUAACAUGUUAUAUAUGGAAAUCCCUUUAAAAAGAUGUGUAGAUUUCAAAUAUGCUAUUAUAUUAAUCAUCAUUCCUAAAAUUCCAUUUAUGAUGCAACCUUUAUUAAUAUCUUCUUUAUAUGGGGUAUUUUGAAAAUCCCGGCUUAACGUUGAUAUUUCUGUAGUCUAAUAAAUUGGAAACAUGUUGAAUACAUUUCACAAAUAAUACAACCUUAUGAACUUACACCACUUAUCAUGUUGUUUCUCGUGGGGCAUUGUGAAAGAUUUGAAGGGAUUCGCCGAUGCUCUCAGGUGUGCGUAUGAGGGAUGAUUUUUUUCCGUUGCAACACACUGGGAAUAAUGCCUUUCCAUGGAAUCUGAAGCAUGCAUGGUUAAAAAAGAAAUUCCGAAUCAUACACCUGAUUUCAUGAAAAUUAUUGUGACCUCUUCAAAUAGAAAAUUCGUUUUAGUGUGGUAUGUGCAAAUCUGUUUAUUAUGUUUCCUUCUAUAUGAAAGAAAAUUGAGUUGUACUUUAGACUUUAUAGGUCUCCGUGCAUGUAAGUUUAGAAGAAAUUUGGUAACGAAAAUCAGUAAUGGGCAUCUGGUAACUUACCAAUUAAAUCUUAAUUUCUUAUAUAUGUACAUACAUGUACGAUCCUCAUGAUUUAGGCUCUCAAUGAUAAAUCAAAUGAUGAAGGUAAUGACUCAUUAUACUACAAAUUAACUAGGAAGGUAAUUUAGAUAUUUAAAUUAAUCAAUUCUUUCAGGAUUGAAGUGUAGCAUCUCAUACAUGCAUUUUAAGAUCAUUGGUAAAAUAUACAUUACAUGGCUGAUGCAACAGAAUGUUAUCUUGGGUCAUUGGGCUAGGGAGGUGUGUUUUGAUUCUCCCGGUGCAACGCACGGGCAUAUUUACUAGUAUAUAUUUAUUAUAUAUAUAUAUAUAUAUAUAUACUAAUAAAGCAAUUACUGCUUCUGGUCGUACGUCGUCGACCCUUUGGCAAAAAGCCCCUCUGUUUUGUAGUAUUCAACCCGCAGUCCUUUCUUAAGUGAGAAAACGUUUCGUUUAAACAUUUUACAAAUAAAUCCUUAUAGUUUACCGUAUUCAACCCACGGUCCUUUCUAAAUUGAAAAAAAGCACGCCAGAAAACACACACGAGAACGGGCUCUCCUCUCCCUCGCCUCCCGAUCCCAACCGCCAGGCGCUCGAUCUGGUGCCGCGCCGGCCAUCUGGGCGCGGCGUCGAUGGAUCUGGCGGCGGGUGCGGCAUCUUGCUCCGCUGGCGACGGUGUCCUGCUGAUGCAAAGAGACCAGGGCGUGAGGAAGAGAGGAAGAAAGGAGAAGGGGCACAAGGUGAGGGAGGCGGUCGCCGGCGGCGGCGGCUCCGGUGACCGGCCGGAGGGAAGGGAGAGGAACUCCUGUUGAGGCGGCGCGGCUUGGUGCACGCUGGUUUCUCCGGAUCGACCCCCUACUCAGAUCUGCACGCCCCUGAUGAUUGGAGGUGUGCCUUUCACAUGUUCGUUGAGUUGCAGCAACAAGGACAGAUGGCCAUCUUCACAGGUUAUGCCCCUUACUGUAAUUUGCAUUCAGUUAUGUGCAGUAAUAAUGCCAUAUUUGUUAGCCUGCUAGCUGUUUCCAGAUUUUUUUAGACAUGAUUGACUGCUUCUACACAAAAGGAGUUUGUCGAAAAUAAGAGCAAUCCCAUUGUUGCUACAGAGCCCGAAGAUUCUUUGCCUUUCUUUGAACUGUUUGAGUUUUUUCUUUCAUAUGGCUACAAUUAUUUGAUUGGUCCAUGUAGAUUUAGGCAACAUGAGAUGAGCCGAUGAUAUAUAUUGUGAUAUACGAUGUCUAUUGCUACAAGUGUUGAUGUCUUGGUGAUGGCAGGUUUUGCAAGUAAUUGAAAUGCUUUUUGAGUAGAGGAUAAUUAGAGAUAUAAUGUUCUACCUGAUCUUGAGGUAUGUGAAAGUGAACUCGGUGAUUUUGAGUAAUUCUAAGAGUAUACAUCUCAUCUAUCAGGUAUCCUUUUUUGAGUAAUGCUGAGAGGAUACAUCUCAUCUAUGAGGAAUUAAUCCAUCUCGUUUUCUCUGUGUUUACCUUGUUCUACAAAUGGCUAACUAGGUAAUGAUUAUUGAUAGCUAAUGACAUGAGGGAGAGGGGGACAAGCCCCUUUAGCUACUGCAAUGUGGUUGUGCAUACAAAUGUGCUACUCAUAUUCCACUGUUAGACGAGCUAGGCGCGAGAAGCAGGUUCAGAAUUCAGCUCCAUUUGAUUUACAUUUAGAUCAUCUUGCUGCAACACCAUCACUUUUCUUGAUAGCAAACAACAAUUUUUAGUAAUCAUUUAUAGCUUUUCUUUGGUUUGUUUAUUCUAUUAUACCAUAGAUAUCAUGAGAAACUGUUAAUCGCUUAAGGAGGGUGUUCUGUUCACUCAAAAUCAACUGCCUAAUGGUCUGAUUAGUUUAUGUAUGUGAAAAUUUAUUUUAAUAAUUAUAGUUGCAAUUUCCAGUCAAGGCAUAUGUUCUUUUAUACUUUUAUAGUGAGUCUACAAUAGGUUGAAUAGAUUCGAUUUCUAUUUCCUUUCCUUGUCGUCGUCCACUUAGGUUAUAAGGGGAGCCAGAGAGGUGAGGGAGGUGACCAAAGCGGCAGCGGCCUUGGGGUGCCGAAGAAGAGAGCGUAGGAGGAUGGAAAGGGGCUCUUAUACGACGGCUGGAAGAGAACUAUGCUCUCCUAAACCUGAAUGGGCCAAAAGUGACAAGACAGACAGAUCUGGCAGUCAAUUAUUCUUCAGUUUCGGUUGUGAUGUUUCAACAUGAGUUCAGAGCGUUAAUGCUUUGCUGAUGCGAGGAGGUGAAGUUGUAUGCUACCAGAGUGCAGAUAUUUCUUGGUAUGUUUGCUUUCAAGAAAAGAUGGAUGUGUGUUGUGACUGUGACAGAUGGUUCUACUGGAUAUGUUGUUGGGUUUAUAACAAGAAGCAUU
Long non-coding RNA from Triticum aestivum (bread wheat), 8305 nucleotides. RefSeq lists it as uncharacterized. The record is from RefSeq and is a predicted model, not a curated record. The transcript is spliced from 5 exons. Lineage: Eukaryota; Viridiplantae; Streptophyta; Magnoliopsida; Poales; Poaceae.